This 68-nucleotide microRNA precursor is filed under the name Bombyx mori (domestic silkworm). RNAcentral describes it as "mir-2774 microRNA precursor family". It matches the Rfam family "mir-2774 microRNA precursor family". Lineage: Eukaryota; Metazoa; Arthropoda; Insecta; Lepidoptera; Bombycidae. The record is from Rfam by way of RNAcentral.
ACAACAUUUGGACCGUCGGUCUACCAAAGCAAUAUCACACAUUCGGUAGAUGAUUUUCUCUUUGUCAU